CAGGUCUCUCCCAAUGGGUGCUGAAGCAGACAUGGGGUGCAGAUUCUGGAUAUUCCUGCAAUCUAUAUGUUCCUUGGCUGCGAAAAAAGAAAUCUUAAGGGAGUUAUAUCUAACGUUAAAGGAUUAAUCUUUGCUCACACAAUUGCACCAGAUGUUACUGCGACACAGUCUAAGUCACUGCUAUCGUUUAGCUUCACCGUGUAAAUCACAUUUUAACAUCCCUCCCAGCUUAACUGGAAAAGUAACAAUAUCAGAGCAGUCAGUUUCUCUGAACUUUUACAUAAUCAUUGAUUGUUAUUGAAUACUUACAUUUAAAGACUUAAGCAUACCUCCCAAGUGCCUCUAUUUAGGAAUGACAGUCCCUAUUUUGCACCAACAUCCCUCUGUCCCUCUUUUUUGAGGGGCUCCCUGUUGUUGGUGUGUCUGAGUGUAUAACAGAGCUCCACAGCAAUAAUACUCCCAGUAAUGUGUCUGAGUGUAUAACAGAGCUCCGCAGCAAUAAUACUCCCAGUAAUGUGUCUGAGUGUAUAACAGAGCUCCGCAGCAAUAAUACUCCCAGUAAUGUCUGUGUGUAUAACAGAGCUCCACAGCAAUAAUACUCCCAGUAAUGUGUCUGAGUGUAUAACAGAGCUCCACAGCAAUAAUACUCCCAGAAAUGUGUCUGAGUGUAUAACAGAGCUCCACAGCAAUAAUACUCCCAGUAAUGUGUCUGAGUGUAUAACAGAGCUCCACAGCAAUAAUACUCC
Pelobates cultripes (western spadefoot toad) is the source of this 746-nucleotide non-coding RNA. Lineage: Eukaryota; Metazoa; Chordata; Amphibia; Anura; Pelobatidae. The record is from the annotation of a GenBank genome assembly.